This 87-nucleotide microRNA precursor is filed under the name Chrysemys picta bellii (western painted turtle). Its description in RNAcentral is "miRNA (ENSCPBG00000024202.1)". It matches the Rfam family "mir-210 microRNA precursor family", at positions 5 to 86 of the family's 96-position model. The record is from RNAcentral. RNAcentral also lists the same sequence under 1 other name. Lineage: Eukaryota; Metazoa; Chordata; Testudines; Emydidae.
CAGAAGCUGGUGAGCCACUGACUAACGCACAUUGUGCUGUUAAAGAAUCCACUGUGCGUGUGACAGCGGCUAACCAGCUUUUCGGCC